GCUGGGCGUGGUGGCGCGCGCCUGUAAUCCUGGCUACUCAGGAGGCUGAGGCAGGAGAAUCUCUUGAACCCGGGAGGCAGAUGUUGCAGUGAGCCGAGAUUGCGCCACUGUACUCCAGCCUGAGUGACAGAGUGAGACUCUGUCUCAA
Molecule: non-coding RNA, 148 nt
Filed under: Theropithecus gelada (gelada)
Lineage: Eukaryota; Metazoa; Chordata; Mammalia; Primates; Cercopithecidae
Source: Rfam by way of RNAcentral